This 217-nucleotide ribosomal RNA is filed under the name Alexandrium margalefii. Its description in RNAcentral is "partial Bacterial large subunit ribosomal RNA". It matches the Rfam family "Bacterial large subunit ribosomal RNA", at positions 2065 to 2285 of the family's 2925-position model. Lineage: Eukaryota; Dinophyceae; Gonyaulacales; Pyrocystaceae. The record is from RNAcentral.
GGUUCCUGCGGUCAGACGGAAAGACCCCGUGAACCUUUACUAUAGCUUCACACUGGCAAUUGUGUCGUCAUGUGUAGGAUAGGUGGUAGACUAUGAAAGCAAGCGCUAGCUUGUCUGGAGUCAUCCUUGAAAUACCACCCUUGAAGUCAUGAUUGUCUAACCGCGGUGCAACAACACCCGGGACAGUGUGUGGUGGGUAGUUUGACUGGGGCGGUCG